GGAUGCUUGUCGUAACCGCCACUUCUCUCCAUACGUUUUCGUCCGAAGUAUUUUUUAAUCAGACGUUGCCUUGAGCAGCCUAUGUCGGUCUUUUUACCCUCCGGAAUUCAAUUUUUCACUCGUUCAAUUAUCCGUACCAUGCGCGUCCUAUCCAGCUUGCCUUUCCACGUUGCACCGGUGGCACUAUGUCUAAACCAUUUGACAUAAACGUGUAUGCAGAAAUGUUUCACGUGUUCAAAUAUCCCACCGAAAUGUUUGGUCGUAUAUUGAGUUU
Cinara cedri is the source of this 274-nucleotide non-coding RNA. The record is from the annotation of a GenBank genome assembly. NCBI's taxonomy places the organism in Eukaryota, Metazoa, Arthropoda, Insecta, Hemiptera, Aphididae.